RNAcentral lists this ribosomal RNA (417 nucleotides) under Streptomyces atroolivaceus. RNAcentral's name for it is "bacterial SSU rRNA". It matches the Rfam family "Bacterial small subunit ribosomal RNA", at positions 21 to 442 of the family's 1533-position model. RNAcentral also lists the same sequence under 1 other name. The record is from RNAcentral. Lineage: Bacteria; Bacillati; Actinomycetota; Actinomycetes; Kitasatosporales; Streptomycetaceae.
GGCUCAGGACGAACGCUGGCGGCGUGCUUAACACAUGCAAGUCGAACGAUGAAGCCCUUCGGGGUGGAUUAGUGGCGAACGGGUGAGUAACACGUGGGCAAUCUGCCCUUCACUCUGGGACAAGCCCUGGAAACGGGGUCUAAUACCGGAUAACACUCUGUCCCUCAUGGGGCGGGGUUAAAAGCUCCGGCGGUGAAGGAUGAGCCCGCGGCCUAUCAGCUUGUUGGUGGGGUAAUGGCCUACCAAGGCGACGACGGGUAGCCGGCCUGAGAGGGCGACCGGCCACACUGGGACUGAGACACGGCCCAGACUCCUACGGGAGGCAGCAGUGGGGAAUAUUGCACAAUGGGCGAAAGCCUGAUGCAGCGACGCCGCGUGAGGGAUGACGGCCUUCGGGUUGUAAACCUCUUUCAGCAG